RNAcentral lists this ribosomal RNA (91 nucleotides) under uncultured bacterium. Its description in RNAcentral is "partial 16S ribosomal RNA". The record is from RNAcentral.
CCCGUAACCCUCGUCAUUGCGAACAAAUUGCUCAACCUAACACGUGGAGCAUUGAUAGUAGCGAAAGAGGAAGGGACGGCUAACUCUGUGC